CCGCUUUCAUGCAACACCGCAAGAGCGGUGGCGCUUGUAGUGCAUUCUUUCCUCCUUUUAUGGUGUCUUCUUUCCUCUGGCAAGGCGUACCCGCACUCUUCUCUGACGCUUCGCACCUCGCCCACUACCUCGCGAGGGCGCUGAGGCUACGAGCACACUAUUACAUGCUCAGGUACGCGCUUCUUUACAUCGAUGUCUGAGGGAGCGAGCAAGCCGCUGCCAGCUGCUGAGCGCGUCCGGUGGCGGCUCGUCCACCCCGCCGAUGGGCAAAUCCAUUCGCUGCUGCUGCUCAUAGCCGCUGUCAUCUUCUGCAACGGCAUCCGCGGUGACCUCACGUUCGAUGACCACCUCGCCAUUGGCAAGAACGCUGACGCGUGGGCAAACAAGAAAUCGCUCGGCUCCAUCUUCUACAAUGACUUCUGGGGCAAGCCACUUGACCGCUUCGAGUCGAACGGGUCUUACCGUCCCAUCACCGUGCUCACCUUUCGCAUCCAGCAUUGGUUGAUGGGCUACCGCCACAGCCCCGCCUUCCUCCACGGCUUCAACUACACAAUCGCGUAUCUCAACGUGUGCCUCGUGUUUUACCUCGCACGCUUGUACGUCUACAUGGUGGUGCCCAGCGCAGUGCUCGCCGUCGAGAAUGCCAAGGCGCAUUCCCUCACGGCUUUGCUGACCUCUCCCGUGCAUGCGGUGCCCUUGAUGGCGGCUCUGCUGUUCCUCGUGCACCCCGUCCACGUCGACGCCGUCACGUCCAUCGUGGGGCGGUGCGAGCUGCUCUACUGUCUCUUUGGGCUCAUCGGAUUCUUCUGCAUCCACCGGUAUCUAAACCAAGUCGAUGAGACGGCCGACACGGCUUCAGUGACUGCAGCCGUCUCGGCUGCGCCUGCAAACGCCAAGACGUUUUCACCCGCCUCUGCCGCCGCGAAGCAAGUUCACGGGAGGCGCAGGCAGCAGACGCGCUCGCAGCAGCGCAUCUUUACAGCUCGCUACGUCCUCUUCGCGGCCUACGCGCUCAUCAUCAGCAUUCUCUGCAAAGACAGCGCCAUCACUUUCACCGCUAUCUAUGGCGUUCACGCGUGCGUCAUGUACGCCUGUGGACGGUGCCAGGGACGGCGCUCCUUGCUCGUCAUCGCCGUGGCGGUGCUGGAGCUGGUCGGCUACAUAGCCUUCCGUCGACAGUUCAUUGGACGUGUUGACCUGCAGAAGAACCCCCUGCUGCGCCAAACCGAAAAUCCGCAGUACUUCGUGCCGAAAGGCCUCUUUCACUGGCUCAGCAUUCGGUGGGUGAUUCAGGUGAAGAACUUGGAGCUGCUCUUCUUCCCCACGUCGCUGUGCUGUGAGUACAGCUUCAACUGCAUCCCGCACAUGCAAGACAUGCAAGACCCCCGUGUGCCGUACUUCAUCAGGGUCACCGGUGCUGCUUUGAUCACACUGCUGGGCCUCCUGUACGGAACGCUCGCGUUCCGUUCUCGCGUGGCGCUUGUGGGCCUCGUCGGGCUCCUCUGGAUGGCGAUCUCGUACGCCCCGGUCAGCCACCUCUUCAUCGCCGUUGGCACCUUCAUCGCGGAGCGCUGUCUGUACGUGCCGUCCAUCGGCGCGGUGCUGCUCAUCACCUUCAUUGUGGGUGCCCCAGGGCUUCGCAAAGGAGUCGUGACUCGCUACUUCUACGGGCUGCUGCUGCUGUGCGUUGGCUGGGGUAUCUUCUCCCACCGGCGCAACGAGGACUGGCUGACCGACGAGCGCCUGUUCCGCUCCGCGUUGCGGACAUGCCCGAAUAGCGGCAAGGCCUACUCGCAGCUAGCGGCGCUAAUCUCAAGUCGCGAGCGGCGCAUCACCCCCGAAGUUGUCGAGCUGGCCAAGCGUUCGGUCGAGCUAGACUCGAAGCUGCGCGAUGGCUACUACUACUUGGCAGUGAACGAGGUGAACAACAACCGCAACCUGAAGAAGGCCUACAUCUACCUCCGCCGGUGCAUGGAGGACCCGUUCGCCCUCAACAUGUGCCUUGACUCGUACGAGAAGGUGAGCCGCAUUCUCUUUCCCAAUAUGACAGAGGUAGAGAAGCUCGUCGACUACGCCUCGCUGACGCUGUUGGAGUCGCAGAAGGCGACACACCUCCGCCAGGCUGGCGUCAUCGCGUUGCAGAUGUACAAGAAGCCUUGUCUCGCCCAGCAGCUCUUUGACAAGGCGAUGAUCCACUGGAGCCACUCGAAGCUGUACUGGAUCUCUGAUGAGGUGAAACGGGAUUCUGGUGACGCCACCUACUGCAACGCUCUCUACUGGUAUGAGCAGUCCACUUUGCUGUGUGAGGCACAAGAUGCGGCUGGCACGGUUGAGUCGCGGAUCGCGGAUGACCAGGAAGACGGUGGUGCCGAUGAUGUCGACUCUAGCAGCUCCAAGUUGCCGAGGAAGGGCGUCCCUCUCGCGCCGCAGGAGGCAGCCCAGCGAGCAGUUGCCGUAGCGGAGCGCUUCCGUGCUUGCGGCACCGACUGGCAUCAGGUUCUGUCGGAGCCUAAGUACAACCUCCCCACCGUACCUCACCGCAUGACGCAGUACCUCACCGUUGGUGAUGCAACAGGCAACGUGCUCCAGCACUACGUCAACUAUACUGCGUUGGACACGCCAGAGCGGAACGAGGUGCUGCUUAUGUUUUUGGACAUUACCGUGCGGCAGUACUGCCACAUCCACACGCUGAUGAGCGACUCUUACGUUCGUAAGAAGGUCGGCAGCAUGUUCAAAAAUCAUCUGCAGUCCGUCGAGCAUGGGUUUCCGCGCUUCCGCCAGGAGCGCCUGGCUGACAUGCACACGGUGCGGCGCGAGCUCAAGAUGACGACGACACUCAACGCCACACAGCAGAACACGCUGAAGCGUAUCUUUUCCAUGGCCUCUUGCUCGAGUGAUCUCUCAUUUUUGGCCGUUUAACAAGGUACACACACAUACACACACACACACAUACACAUACACAGCACUGCGCGUGGCCACAGUCUCUGCGUAGCGUCGCCUCUCGGUUGUUUUAGUGGUCGUAUGCUCUUAUCUUUGCCCUUCCACCCGCUCGCUCUCGUGCUCGUGGGAGGCUACGAAGAUGGGAGGUGGCGAUCUGGUAUUCCUUGUUCAUUUUACUUAGGUGCUUGUGCUUCUCGGAAGCUCCUCGGGCGCAGAGGAGAGCGGAGGAGCGAGAGGGUUGAAGGCGUAGCCCGCCUGCGACUCAAACUCUCCGACGCCCAGUGAGAGCCACGCUCCUCUGUCGCUCCUCUUCUCCUCCGGGCACCACUUCCCGCCACCACGCCCUCCUCAUCAAUCGUCUUGUCCAGCGGUGCGGCCCGCAAGCCUUUUCUCCCUCUGCAUUGCUCCACCCAUCGCCCUCCGGCGAUAGGGUGGGUGGGCCACGCGUCACGACGUUGGGCUUCUGUUGCUGGCACGUACCACGAGAGUCUUUGUGCGCGUCCAAACACUUCCGUGAAGCACCGCCGCGUUGCCGUCGUCUUUCUGGCAACCUUCCGUGCCGUUUGGUACGCCGUCGAGAGAGUAGGGGUGGACAGGGACGGAUGGAUGGAUGGAUGGCGGCAUGGGGAUGUGGUGAUGAGAGGGAAGACGUGCGUCUGUUGGCGAGUGCGCACGAUGAAGCCGACGGUGCAGGCUCUUUUUAUCUAUCUCUUUGAUGUGCAUCAACUUAUUUCUGUUUUUCGCGUCCUUUCUGGACAACCCGUGUGCUCGUCUGGACCCCCUCCCUUGGGUGUUUUUCUGUAUGUCUGUUUCUGUUUUGAAUCGCUAUCUGUCUACUGCCUCCUCAUCUCUACUCAUUCAUGCUAACGUCUGGUUCUGCGCGUUGGUGUGUGGCGCUGUGAACCUGCGGUAUAUCGCUGCUCUCUGCCUCACCGCGCUGAUCCUUCUCUACGACUCCCUCGCCAGUCCGCCGCCCACCGCCCACCCUCACUCAAGGCGUGGGCGCACUCAGCGGGUGAGGCCGUCCCCGCUCAGCCGACAGCAGAAAGACACAAGAGGGUAUAGGCGGGGCGGGGCCGCUAUCGAUACCGUGAGCCACCAACGCCAAACACCAGCUUGAAGCGGCUGUCAUGAGGGCGUGGGUGAGCCGACUCACCAACACGUCGGCAGCACUUUCAGCUGCUGGCUAGUCGAUUCGCGUUCAAGCGUUCGUGCGCUGGAGUAGGUGGCACACCUUUUCCUCGGUUACUGGUAGAGCCCUCUUCCAAAAGUGGAUACGCGGCGGCCGUGUUCAACGCGUCUUGUUU
This 4247-nucleotide unclassified non-coding RNA is filed under the name Leishmania donovani. RNAcentral describes it as "gene:LdHU3.20.0180(CDS-product:Domain_of_unknown_ function_(DUF1736)_putative)". Lineage: Eukaryota; Euglenozoa; Kinetoplastea; Trypanosomatida; Trypanosomatidae. The record is from RNAcentral.